RNAcentral lists this transfer RNA (74 nucleotides) under Gossypium arboreum. It matches the Rfam family "tRNA". Rfam says of the family: Transfer RNA (tRNA) molecules are approximately 80 nucleotides in length. Their secondary structure includes four short double-helical elements and three loops (D, anti-codon, and T loops). The record is from Rfam by way of RNAcentral. Lineage: Eukaryota; Viridiplantae; Streptophyta; Magnoliopsida; Malvales; Malvaceae.
GGGGAUGUAGCUCAAACAGUAGAGCGCUCGCUUUGCAUGCGAGAAGUUACGGGGUUCGAUACCCCGCGUCUCCA